Molecule: long non-coding RNA, 266 nt
Filed under: Nicotiana benthamiana
Lineage: Eukaryota; Viridiplantae; Streptophyta; Magnoliopsida; Solanales; Solanaceae
Description: long non-coding RNA (NBEN_LNC015072)
Source: RNAcentral
UCGCAUCUUCUCAUCCACCGGAGCCACCCCCACCUUCUCUCGAAUAACUUCAUUCUUAAUCUUAUCUAACAUGGUGAGCCUGCACAUCCACCUGAGCAUCCUCAUCUCCGCAACCUUCAUUCUCUGAACAUGAGAGUUCUUCACUGGCCAGCACUCCGCCCCAUUGAACAAUGCAGGUCUAACCACAGCUCUAUAAAAUUUCUCCUUGAGUUUCUGUGAAACUUUCUUGUCACACAGGACUCCUGAUGCAAGCCUCCACUUUGACC